Molecule: unclassified non-coding RNA, 148 nt
Organism: Papio anubis (olive baboon)
Lineage: Eukaryota; Metazoa; Chordata; Mammalia; Primates; Cercopithecidae
Rfam family: Metazoan signal recognition particle RNA
About the family: The signal recognition particle (SRP) is a universally conserved ribonucleoprotein.
Source: Ensembl
GCCGGGCAUGGUGGCACAUGCCUGUAAUCCCAGCUAUUUGGGAGGCUGAGGCAGGAGAAUUGCUUGAACCUGGGAGGCGGAGGUUGUAGUGAGCCAAGAUCAUGCCACUGCACUCCCGCCUAGGCAACAGAGCAAGACUUUGUCUCAA